RNAcentral lists this transfer RNA (73 nucleotides) under Bacteroidales bacterium. RNAcentral's name for it is "tRNA-Pro". It matches the Rfam family "tRNA". Rfam says of the family: Transfer RNA (tRNA) molecules are approximately 80 nucleotides in length. Their secondary structure includes four short double-helical elements and three loops (D, anti-codon, and T loops). Further hydrogen bonds mediate the characteristic L-shaped molecular structure. tRNAs have two regions of fundamental functional importance: the anti-codon, which is responsible for specific mRNA codon recognition, and the 3' end, to which the tRNAs corresponding amino acid is attached (by aminoacyl-tRNA synthetases). tRNAs cope with the degeneracy of the genetic code in two manners: having more than one tRNA (with a specific anti-codon) for a particular amino acid; and 'wobble' base-pairing, i.e. permitting non-standard base-pairing at the 3rd anti-codon position. Lineage: Bacteria; Pseudomonadati; Bacteroidota; Bacteroidia; Bacteroidales. The record is from RNAcentral. RNAcentral also lists the same sequence under 1 other name.
CGGGGUGUAGCGCAGUUGGUAGCGCAUCUGGUUUGGGACCAGGGGGUCGCAGGUUCGAAUCCUGUCACCCCGA